UACGUAUGGGGCAAGCGUUAUCCGGAUUUACUGGGUGUAAAGGGAGCGUAGGUGGCAAGGCAAGUCAGAAGUGAAAGGCUGGGGCUCAACCCUGGGACUGCUUUUGAAACUGCCUAGCUAGAGUGCAGGAGAGGUAAGUGGAAUUCCUAGUGUAGCGGUGAAAUGCGUAGAUAUUAGGAGGAACACCAGUGGCGAAGGCGGCUUACUGGACUGUAACUGACACUGAGGCUCGAAAGCGUGGGGAGCAAACAGG
Molecule: ribosomal RNA, 253 nt
Filed under: uncultured bacterium
Lineage: Bacteria
Description: partial 16S ribosomal RNA
Rfam family: Bacterial small subunit ribosomal RNA
Source: RNAcentral